This 468-nucleotide ribosomal RNA is filed under the name uncultured bacterium. RNAcentral's name for it is "partial 16S ribosomal RNA". It matches the Rfam family "Bacterial small subunit ribosomal RNA", at positions 28 to 507 of the family's 1533-position model. The record is from RNAcentral.
GACGAACGCUGGCGGCGUGCUUAACACAUGCAAGUCGAACGGAAAGGCCCUGCUUUUGUGGGGUGCUCGAGUGGCGAACGGGUGAGUAACACGUGAGUAACCUGCCCUUGACUUUGGGAUAACUUCAGGAAACUGGGGCUAAUACCGGAUAGGAGCUCCUGCUGCAUGGUGGGGGUUGGAAAGUUUCGGCGGAUGUGGAUGGACUCGCGGCUCAUCAGCUUGUUGGUGGGGUAGUGGCUUACCAAGGCUUUGACGGGUAGCCGGCCUGAGAGGGUGACCGGCCACAUUGGGACUGGGAUACGGCCCAGACUCCUACGGGAGGCAGCAGUGGGGAAUAUUGCACAAUGGGCGGAAGCCUGAUGCAGCAACGCCGCGUGCGGGAUGACGGCCUUCGGGUUGUAAGCCGCUUUCGCCUGUGACGAAGCGUGAGUGACGGUAAUGGGUAAAGAAGCACCGGCUAACUACGUG